AAUUUCUUCCUGCUUCUGACUGCAAGCUCUUCAGGGACAGCCCAUUAAGCCCCCAGCCUCCAACUUCUCUUUCCUGACUCAUAUCUGGGGUACCUAACACGGUGCCAGGUUCUCCCUGGGACUAUAGCCCCGAGUGUGACAAGAGUGAUGAACAGGGGCUGGUUUGAAGAGCCAGUCCCUGCUCCGGGGGCCUGUCUCCGGUCUACUGUGAGGCAAUGCUGAGCGGCGGCCUAGGGGGGAUCUGGGAGGCCUCAAGCCAGACAGGAGAACAUUUUCACGAAGCACAAUCACAAAAGAACAGAAUGUCCUGAUGUUUGGAAGCUGACCACAGGGAAUCUCAGGAUGCCAAAAAUCUCCUUUGGGACAUUAGAUGUGCCUUGAAUUUCACCACUA
Molecule: long non-coding RNA, 393 nt
Organism: Nomascus leucogenys (northern white-cheeked gibbon)
Lineage: Eukaryota; Metazoa; Chordata; Mammalia; Primates; Hylobatidae
Exons: 3
Source: RefSeq, a predicted model, not a curated record